Molecule: ribosomal RNA, 425 nt
Filed under: uncultured prokaryote
Description: bacterial SSU rRNA
Rfam family: Bacterial small subunit ribosomal RNA
Source: RNAcentral
CAACGAAUCUUCCGCAAUGCGCGAAAGCGUGACGGAGCAAUGCCGCGUGCAGGAUGAAGCCCUUCGGGGUGUAAACUGCUGUCAGGGUUUAGCAACACAAUGAGCAGACCCAAAGGAAGGGCCGGCUAACUUCGUGCCAGCAGCCGCGGUAAUACGAAGGGCCCAAGCGUUGCGCGGAAUCACUGGGCUUAAAGCGUACGUAGGCGGGCGCGCAGGCACCUUGUGAAAUCCCUCGGCUCAACCGAGGAACUGCUUGGUGAACCGCGUGCCUUGAGACAAGUAGGGGCUGUCGGAACGAUAGGUGGAGCGGUGAAAUGCGUUGAUAUCUAUCGGAACGCCGAAGGUGAAGACAGGCAGCUGGGCUUGUUCUGACGCUGAGGUACGAAAGCGUGGGGAGCGAACGGGAUUAGAUACCCCCGUAGUCC